RNAcentral lists this long non-coding RNA (310 nucleotides) under Vigna radiata. RNAcentral describes it as "long non-coding RNA (VRAD_LNC009897)". Lineage: Eukaryota; Viridiplantae; Streptophyta; Magnoliopsida; Fabales; Fabaceae. The record is from RNAcentral.
CUAACAAUAAAAAUUGGUUUUUCCGGAAUACAAAGUCCUUGAGUUAAGAGAGCUUUCAAAAUAUUCAACAAUUUAAGCACAACUCUCUUCCUUACCAAUCUCGCUUAUUUCCAACUUUUUCCCCUUUUUCUUUUUCAUUAAGCUCNUCUUCAUGCUUUUCUUCUUUUCUUUUCUUUUUCUCAUGAAUUUUUCUUUUCACAACAUUUGAGCUCAAUGUUUUUCAUUUGCUUUUAUCAAUUUUCCCUCAUACAACCCCAAACUUGAACCUUUUCAUCAUAUACAAUUAAGCUCAUCCCAACUCUAGGUAAAG